CUUUACUGAACGAGACUGAAAUAGUUUUAGCUACUCCAGGGUGAUUUGAGGGGGCGGUAGUACUUUGGAUGCCUAAAGCGACUUUGAGGAGACUGCAAGUCAAUUCCAACUGAUAGAGGGACCGACGAGAGUUUGAAUGGGGAAUAAAUCAGUUUCACAGGAUCUUACCACCAGAGGGCGCUCCUUCUCUGGAUAAUAUGGAGCUGUGAUCAACAUGUAUCAGGCUGAUUUUCAGACAGCGGUUUAAAAACAAGAACAAUGAAUGUGGAGUUCUGUCAGUUCUAGGUCUUGUUCAACAAUUGACAGGGUUUUAGGUAAUU
Molecule: long non-coding RNA, 320 nt
Organism: Esox lucius (northern pike)
Lineage: Eukaryota; Metazoa; Chordata; Actinopteri; Esociformes; Esocidae
Exons: 3
Source: RefSeq, a predicted model, not a curated record